Molecule: long non-coding RNA, 334 nt
Organism: Xenia sp. Carnegie-2017
Lineage: Eukaryota; Metazoa; Cnidaria; Anthozoa; Malacalcyonacea; Xeniidae
Exons: 2
Source: RefSeq, a predicted model, not a curated record
AUCCUUCAUAGCGCCGAAAUCCUGAACCAAAGUUUUCUUCGCUGACAAUUUUUGACCACCAUUCGCAAUCAGGUUCACCACAGACUGUGAAAAUCCAGGUCCCGGAAUAAAUACAUAAAAGUUGCCACCUGUAUUCAAAGAACUCCUGUAAUGAAGACAUCAAAGCGAUUUGCGAUACGAUCUUUUGCACUGGUGUGCUUGAUGAGAAAUCAGCAGUUAUCAGAUCAACAUAACCAGGAACUUUGACAUUCUUUGAUAUUUCAUGUGACAUGGUAUCAAAAAAUGAAGAGUAGUUUACAUCAUAGAUAUUAUUAGAAUCCACUUCUACAUUCAA